Molecule: long non-coding RNA, 723 nt
Organism: Manis pentadactyla (Chinese pangolin)
Lineage: Eukaryota; Metazoa; Chordata; Mammalia; Pholidota; Manidae
Exons: 3
Source: RefSeq, a predicted model, not a curated record
CCUGGAACCCUGGACCCCGGUUUGGGUCCAGCCUUUCUUGCCUAUUCCGGGCCCCGCCCGAAGCGGGGUGGGGAGUUUGGGUGUCCGGGCCUCGGUGAUCGCUCCCGGCAGCUGGCAGAGAGAUGCCGGGGGGUGGGUCUCAGUGGAGUGGCUGUGAUUAGCGUGGGCUAGGAGAUAAUUCCUCCCCCUUCUUGGACUCCAAAGUGCUUUCUUAGGCUCUUGGCUCGGGCGCACUUCAGAGCCAACCCCUGUUUCCUGAUUCAUCUCCGUUUGGGGGAAAAAGUGGCUGCCAAGUCACGGAAGUGGCGGUUCCUGGAGGCCGCAGGCCCCGAGAUUUGUCUUGACUUUGCUGUCCGCCUGGGCAGAGCCUGGAAGGCCUUGAAGCUUUCACCUUCAGGACUGAGCCCCAGCAGCCGAGAGAGAAAAGUGCCUGAUGCCGAACUGGACCUGCCCUGGGGAGGCUGUGAGGAUGGGGAAGGGUGGCAGGAGACCUCUGCCUCACAGCACGUCUUGGGGCCGUCCAGCACGUCACUGCAGCUAGAAUUUAGAAUCCUGACUCACCCUUCAGCCAGCCACAAGGAAUGCUGAUUAUUCUGGAGCAGAAGCCAUGCUUCUGCAGUCCUGGCCAUAAAGCUGUGGAUUGUACGACCUGGCACGGCUGGUGCUGCCCGGCUGAGAUCACUGAGUUAUCUUUCCCAUCUGCAGAGUCCUGGCUGGGGUGCC